GGAGGGAGAUCCAACGCGAUCCAGCCUUGGCCUCCACUGCCUCGGCCUCGCGCCUCGCCAGAGCAGCUCAGCCGUCGGCCGAAGUCGCGCAGGUCGCCGUGUUCCCCCGCUCUUCUUCCUCCCUCUGUUUAUCUCUUCCUUUUUUCUCUCAAGUCUCAACCCCCUCUGUACUUCUCUUUGCAAGGAGGCCGCCAUGGACUUCCUCGUCGAGCCAUCGCCGGAGUUCCAAGUCCGCGCCGCUCGAAACCGUCUUCAACCUCCGUCAGCCCUUGUUCCUCCAUGCCCCGCGAAGCGCAUGCCAAGCCGUCGCCGCGUCGAGCUCCACCGCCCAAGUCCGCUGUCCCGCCGCCCGCCGGACCUCCCUGGCUGUCUUCCUCCACUGCAUCUAGUCGCUCCUCGAACGCAUCAAGUCCCCCUGCAUCAAGCGCCGCCCUCGCCAAGACGCAUCAAGCGUUGGUGCUCUUCUGCCUCAUCGGGUGGAUGACACCCAGCGCACUCACGCGCGUGGGGUCAAGGGCGUUGACCGCGCCCCUGCCUGGGCAGAUCGCCAGCGCCUCCCCGCUCGAUCCCCUGCUCGACCGCUCGCAUGCAGCCUGAGCUCCGGCGAGGUUGAUCUGGACGGCUCGGCAGCGUCACCGGCGGUAGUAACUCUAAUAGGCCACUACACUUUCCAAAUUCCAAUGCUCGCGUGUUGGUCGUUCCCAAGUUUUCACUACCCUGAGCCUUCGAGUACAAGAGGCUGCUGCUUGACUAUAACAGCGAACACGACCAACAAGUUCCGCCAGCGCGAGGCAAGCGACGACAUGCUCGGUUACCCCCACCUAUGGAGCAGGUGCUCUGCUCUUGCACACGUCUGGCACCGUCUCCGGCGCGGUGGUGCUUCUUGAGGCGACCGGCGUGAUGGCGGCUGUGUACGGCGGCGACCACAAGCUCUCCGGUGAGUCGGCUCCAUCUUCUAGCCCUAGCUCCCUAUUUUCUGCUCCUAUAGCAUGCUCUGUUGGUUUAGAACACUAGCAGCAGUAGCCUACCGUGUAUACGUACUAAACAGCAGGAGCUCAAUCACCUUGUGUACACUAGCAGCUUGCUUACACACUUGUCACUUUUGCUUGUGAUAGCCAUUACGUAGCUGAAUCAUGUCCGUGUCUACUAAUCAUCAGUUCAUAGUAUUUGGCUUCUGUGUGAUGGUCUGCGACUAUUUUAUGGUGAUGUGGAUAUACUUUCUGAUUUAAAGUUACUAAUAUUUUUUGUUUUGAUUCUUUCUCUGGUGCGAGGAAAGCUGUAGUAGACGUCAACGAUGCCUACUUGCUUGGUUGCUACAGUGAUGCAUGCGCCGGUCAAGCAAGCACACGUGCAUAUACGUACAUGUUAGGAUAGUAGCAGAUGUGCCAUAAUUCCUGUGUAAGGAAAUGUAUUCCUGAGAUGAUUUUGUUAUGUUAUCUAAACCUGGGAGAUAUGUUAUGUGAUGUGAUAUGAUGGAUGAUCUGAAUUCGACAUUGAGUUUUCCUGAUUUGAAUAUGAAACAAUGUCGGAUGCGUGUGUGUAACUGGAUUAAA
This is a long non-coding RNA of Aegilops tauschii subsp. strangulata, 1553 nucleotides long. RefSeq lists it as uncharacterized. The record is from RefSeq and is a predicted model, not a curated record. Lineage: Eukaryota; Viridiplantae; Streptophyta; Magnoliopsida; Poales; Poaceae.